Non-coding RNA from Camelina sativa (false flax), 652 nucleotides. The record is from RefSeq and is a predicted model, not a curated record. NCBI's taxonomy places the organism in Eukaryota, Viridiplantae, Streptophyta, Magnoliopsida, Brassicales, Brassicaceae.
CAGAAGUUGCUCAAGCUCCCAGAGAGGACAGAAAUCUUGAACCAAGCUACCCAUACCGAACCUGACCUAAAAAAGAGAAGCCAGAUAAGUUUGAGUAAGCACGCUUUAUUCCAUUCUUUCAAAUCCCAUAUGCCUAAUCCUCCAUGUCUCUUUUCAGUUGUAACGUCAGCCCAUGCCACACGAGCAGAGUGAUGCCCUUCUGUUGUCCCCUUCCAGAGGAAAGCUCCUGAAAGAGAGUUCAAUAUGUCUAUGCAUCUCUUGGGAAGAAUCAGGGCCGAACACCAAAAGUUUGUGAUACCCGCUAUAACUGUGUUAAGCAAUUGGAGGCGACCAGCAAAGGAGAGGGUUUUUGUUGACCACCCGUUGAAGUUGAGAGAGACCUGAAGUAUAGAAGCUCGUUUUGGGGAGGCUAAUGGCGAGACCGGAUGCAUCUUCAAAUUCUUUAAGAAUCUGGAGAACAUUCAGAACUGAGAGCGUCGUUCCUUCAACAAAUAUCAGCAAGUCAUCAGCAAAGCAAAGAUAAACAGUUCAUAGCCAGUACAAAGAGGUACGGAGAUAAAGGAUCCCCUUGCCUCAACCCUCUGCGACCUUUAAAGUAUCCAUGGACUGAGCCAUUAAAUCCCACAGAGAAGGAAGGAGUACAGACACAGGC